AGUCGAGGCCGUGGAGGACGGGAGGACAUCCAGAGCUCAGCCCGGUAACAUGUCAUUGCCGGGGCCGCCCAGGGUUCGAGUCAGUCUAGAACAGGGCCUUUUACACAGUCUUUGGGCCAUUUGGCGGUUUUAAGAGGCGAGCGUCACAAGCAGCCCAGGGACAUUGGAGACCAGAUGCCACAAACUGAAAACCUUCGGGCCGGGCAGGUGACUGGCAGGUCCCUCUGGCCCUCCUCUGGACGGUCAGCUCAGCGCUGCAGGCUCCUGUGAGCACCGAGUGCCAGGCGCGGAGCAGUGCCUCACACGUGCUGACUCUCGGCCCAUCUACUGUCCACCCCUCUGGACAGUCCGCCCUGUGUGUGCAGUCUCAGGACUUCAGGUAUUUACCUUGGAUUCAUCCUCAUGAACCAGGCAUCCCCUCCUUACGCUAAGCCUCAGCCCUGCGACUACAGAUGGCCUGCAGCUUCUUUUCAUCAGGGAUGUACAUGAAAGGUUUCAUUUCUUAGAAGCUUCUCUGCUACGACUCCAGAGAAAGCGAUCAUGCCAAGACAUCAGAACUCCCUAGUCAUCACGUGGACUUGAGCAAGACAAGCUCUCAGAUCUUCAUGGGGCAGUCAUAACUAGCCUCCUGUAGGCUGCUCGUGGAGCUGAGGUAGGUGUUUACAGUUACUCCAGCAUGAAAAGGUUGGUGCCUUAGGAACAGAAAAGCAGAUCGUUGAAAAAGAUGAAUCAAUAUAGAAGAUCGUGCCACUUGGAGACAUCUUGGAGGCGGGGUUAUUUUCUUAAGACCCCAUCCUCUGAUUUGACCCAAACCCAGAGGUACUCUCUUCCCAUGGCCCCCAGAGGAACAUACAAACCAGUCUUUCCUUGGUAAUACAUCUGAUGUCACAGCUGUCGUUUUAUAAGCAGCCUUAAGAGUGAUCUUUUGAUUCUCCAUAUAAGUGAAAUAUUGUAUUCAUCUUUCACCAUCUGACUUAUUUCACUCAGCACAAUACCCUCUAGGUGCCCAGUGGGUACUUGAAAUAUUGGGGUGAUCAGUUUGUAAUGUAUAUGAUUGUCUACCACUAUGCUGUACACCUGAAGCUAAUACAAAAUAAUACUGAAUGUAAAGUGCAGUUGAAAAACAAACAUUUCUACCAUGCAAAUGGCAUUUACAUUUGUUUACUAUUAGAAAAAAAAAAAAA
This is a non-coding RNA of Miniopterus natalensis, 1184 nucleotides long. The record is from RefSeq and is a predicted model, not a curated record. NCBI's taxonomy places the organism in Eukaryota, Metazoa, Chordata, Mammalia, Chiroptera, Miniopteridae.